Arachis ipaensis is the source of this 349-nucleotide non-coding RNA. Lineage: Eukaryota; Viridiplantae; Streptophyta; Magnoliopsida; Fabales; Fabaceae. The record is from RefSeq and is a predicted model, not a curated record.
UAUAAAUUGAGUUAAUUUCAAAACCAAUUUCAGGAAAAAUACCAGAUACUAUUGGCAACUUGCAUAAGCUAACUACUCUUAAUUUGGACACGAACAAUGUUUCUGGUGUUAUACCAUAUUCUAUCAGUUCUUGUGUCUCUCUUAAUGAAAUAAACUUUGCUGGUAACUCUCUUUCCGGAGAAAUACCAGUUGGUAUUGGAUCUUUGCUCACACUCAACUCAUUAAACUUGUCCUCGAAUAAACUUUCCGGCAAAAUUCCAUCAAGUUUAUCUGCACAAAAGCUUAGCCUUCUUGAUUUAUCAAACAACCAGUUGUCUGUUCCCAUACCAGAUUCACUUGCUAUCUCAGC